Molecule: ribosomal RNA, 253 nt
Filed under: uncultured bacterium
Lineage: Bacteria
Description: partial 16S ribosomal RNA
Rfam family: Bacterial small subunit ribosomal RNA
Source: RNAcentral
UACAGAGGGUGCGAGCGUUAAUCGGAAUUACUGGGCGUAAAGCGUGCGUAGACGGCUAUCUAAGUCGGGUGUGAAAGCCCCGGGCUCAACCUGGGAAUUGCAUUCGAGACUGAAUAGCUAGGGUACGGUAGAGGGAAGUGGAAUUUCCGGUGUAGCGGUGAAAUGCGUAGAUAUCGGAAGGAACAUCAGUGGCGAAAGCGACUUCCUUGACCAGUACCGACGUUCAGGCACGAAAGCGUGGGGAGCAAACAGG